This 362-nucleotide long non-coding RNA is filed under the name Nicotiana benthamiana. RNAcentral describes it as "long non-coding RNA (NBEN_LNC028866)". Lineage: Eukaryota; Viridiplantae; Streptophyta; Magnoliopsida; Solanales; Solanaceae. The record is from RNAcentral.
AUACCAUUCUAGCACAGAGAAGCUUUUCGAUAUUAGCCUUUGCUCUUUGUAGCAAAGUAAACAAGGGUAUACUAGCAAACAAUAUAUAUGGAGCAUUCGGACAAUACCAAGUGCCAACAGAAGAAAUUUCUAUUCAUAUAUUAGAACUGCGAAAUUUGUCCGUGUCAUCCACAAGAUGCUGCUACAUAGGAAAAGCUUGAGUAUCUUCUUCGCAUCAGAUGGCCAAAGAAUUAGAGAUUGGCGAUCUAUGAAAAUAUGAUUGCACAAUAUGGACAGUAACAAUGCCAUAGACAGUGAAACACGUAUAACAAUGAGCACUAAAUGGUUAUAUUUACAGAGGCUAAUAGAGUUUCCCUGUGCUA